CGAACGGUAACGCGGAGAGCUUGCUCUCUGGCGACGAGUGGCGGACGGGUGAGUAAUACUUAGGAAUCUGCCCAGUAGUGGGGGACAACUCGGGGAAACUCGAGCUAAUACCGCAUACGCCCUACGGGGGAAAGCGGGGGAUCUUCGGACCUCGCGCUAUUGGAUGAGCCUAAGUCGGAUUAGCUUGUUGGUGAGGUAAUAGCUCACCAAGGCGACGAUCCGUAGCUGGUCUGAGAGGACGAUCAGCCACACUGGGACUGAGACACGGCCCAGACUCCUACGGGAGGCAGCAGUGGGGAAUAUUGGACAAUGGGCGCAAGCCUGAUCCAGCAAUGCCGCGUGUGUGAAGAAGGCCUGCGGGUUGUAAAGCACUUUCAGUAGAGAAGAAAAGCCUAGGGUUAAUAGCCCUGAGUCUUGACGUAACCUACAGAAGAAGCACCGGCUAACUCCGUGCCAGCAGCCGCGGUAAUACGGAGGGUGCGAGCGUUAAUCGGAAUUACUGGGCGUAAAGCGCGCGUAGGCGGCUCUGUAAGUCGGAUGUGAAAGCCCUGGGCUUAACCUGGGAAUUGCAUUCGAUACUGCAGAGCUAGAGUAUGGUAGAGGGAAGUGGAAUUUCCGGUGUAGCGGUGAAAU
This 633-nucleotide ribosomal RNA is filed under the name uncultured bacterium. RNAcentral describes it as "bacterial SSU rRNA". It matches the Rfam family "Bacterial small subunit ribosomal RNA", at positions 63 to 687 of the family's 1533-position model. The record is from RNAcentral.